UACGGAGGGGGCUAGCGUUGUUCGGAAUUACUGGGCGUAAAGCGUACGUAGGCGGCUUGCCAAGUCAGAGGUGAAAUCCCACGACUCAAUCGUGGAACUGCCUUUGAGACUGGUUCGCUUGAAGAUGGGAGAGGUCAGUGGAAUUCCGAGUGUAGAGGUGAAAUUCGUAGAUAUUGGGAAGAACACCGGUGGCGAAGGCGGCGACCUGGUCCUUGACUGACGCUGAGGCGCGAAAGCGU
Molecule: ribosomal RNA, 239 nt
Filed under: uncultured prokaryote
Description: partial 16S ribosomal RNA
Rfam family: Bacterial small subunit ribosomal RNA
Source: RNAcentral